Leptonychotes weddellii (Weddell seal) is the source of this 1017-nucleotide non-coding RNA. Lineage: Eukaryota; Metazoa; Chordata; Mammalia; Carnivora; Phocidae. The record is from RefSeq and is a predicted model, not a curated record.
AAAGAAGUCUGGCAUUCAUUCUAAAUUGACCUGGAGGCUGAGGAGCCCUGGAGUUGUUCCAGCUGCUUCAAACUCUGCCAGAAGGCAUUGCCUGCCAACAGCAUAACACAAUCUUGGGAAUGAACUCUGACAAACUUACCAUCAUGACAGCUGAUGCAUCCCAUCGAGGAUGGAAGAAUGGAGCUCCAAACUUUGUUACACUAUUCUUGAAAGUUUUCUUGCUCAUCUAAUGGCUGUAAAGUUUAACCACACCCGUCAUGCCCACUGCUCUCCACAUCAUCCUCAUCUGGCAGCCGUCAUGUAUUAAAGGGAAGGACUGAGAAGACAGGAAGUCUCUGGUGAAGAUGGAGUUGAUAGAGUAAACUGGAAAUAGGAACAAAAAGUGAAGGCUGGUGGAGGGGAGUGUCAGGAUGCAGACCCUCCCUGCUUCGACAUGUCGCAUCCUGUACUCUGAAGUUCAUGGGAAUGCAAACAAAUAAAAAUGGUCAUGCCACCCGCUGCAACAGACCUUCUAAAACACAAGCCUGCACAGCACCCUCAAGCUUGAAAUCGGAGAGCUGAUUUCCCUUGACCAAUAAAGCAAACACUGGACGUGAUGGCAUCUAGUUUCCUGAAGUCUGAGAGACGCUAGCAGCGCUGGACUCUAAGUGGCAACACAUUGAUCUGAAGGGGCAAGAGGUUCCCUUAUCCACAGAGCCGGCUGAGAAGGAUGUACAGAUGUGCCGAGUGGGUUCGGGACUUCCCCCGCUGAGGAUACCACCUAAAUAAUGACGAGCAGGACAUUUAAGCAGAGGUCAUAUUUGGAAUAGUUUUGUAAACCAUCUUAAGGAAUGCCUUUAUUCCCUCCGUUCCAUCUUUCUAGAAUGCUUUUCCUCGGUUUGCCCGUCAAAAUCUUAUCCAUUCUUUAAAGCUGAGCUUCGGUCUUGUCUUCAGCAUGGAGUCGUUGGUAAUAAUAUUUUUUCCUUGUUCUUUUUGUUUAUACACUUGCAGCAGCACUGAGAUUACAGUGAAUUGUUA